GAUGAACGCUAGCUACAGGCUUAACACAUGCAAGUCGAGGGGAAACGACAUCGAAAGCUUGCUUUUGAUGGGCGUCGACCGGCGCACGGGUGAGUAACGCGUAUCCAACCUGCCCAUCACUUGGGGAUAACCUUGCGAAAGUAAGACUAAUACCCAAUGAUAUCUCUAGAAGACAUCUGAAAGAGAUUAAAGAUUUAUCGGUGAUGGAUGGGGAUGCGUCUGAUUAGCUUGUUGGCGGGGUAACGGCCCACCAAGGCAACGAUCAGUAGGGGUUCUGAGAGGAAGGUCCCCCACAUUGGAACUGAGACACGGUCCAAACUCCUACGGGAGGCAGCAGUGAGGAAUAUUGGUCAAUGGGCGAGAGCCUGAACCAGCCAAGUAGCGUGCAGGAAGACGGCCCUAUGGGUUGUAAACUGCUUUUAUAAGGGAAUAAAGUGAGAGUCGUGACUCUUUUUGUAUGUACCUUAUGGAUAAGGACCGGCUAAUUCCGUG
RNAcentral lists this ribosomal RNA (492 nucleotides) under uncultured bacterium. Its description in RNAcentral is "partial 16S ribosomal RNA". It matches the Rfam family "Bacterial small subunit ribosomal RNA", at positions 28 to 507 of the family's 1533-position model. The record is from RNAcentral.